UUGCACUCAACCCAGAGGACCUUGUACUGAGAGGUCAUGCUCAAGUCCUUUAGGCUUCUGAUACUGGGUAAAGCCUUACUCUACUCCAUACAGGGAUCUGAAGACUCUUUCAUUCUGCUCUUUCUCCAAAACACAUGUGUAGUAUACCCUCCCAACUACCUGUAGCCAUGCUGUGUUCUUGUCUCCUCAGGGUAUUUUGGAUAAUAAAUAUAUUCUCCUGCAAGAUGGUUCAGUUACCAAAGGAAGAUUUGUUGGAAGGAAAUGGGAGUGUCUUGUAAAAGCUACCAAAAGGUGAAUCAAUAAGUAAGUUGUGACAAGUGAUUAUGAAAACCCACUAGAAGAUGUGACAUUUGAGACCAGAAUAAUGCAGUCAUGUGAAGAAAAUGAUGAAAUCAAUAGCUAAUAUUUAAAUGCUUUUGAGGUACAUCUCUGGCUUUCUUUUCCUUGUUCAGUAUCACUGUGAAGGC
This 467-nucleotide long non-coding RNA is filed under the name Bos taurus (domestic cattle). RNAcentral's name for it is "long non-coding RNA NONBTAT009355". The record is from RNAcentral. Lineage: Eukaryota; Metazoa; Chordata; Mammalia; Artiodactyla; Bovidae.